GGAGAAGUGUCUGAGUGGUCUAAAGAGCUCGAUUGCUAAUUGAGUGUAUUAAAAGAAAUACCGAGGGUUCAAAUCCCUUCUUCUCCU
This 87-nucleotide transfer RNA is filed under the name Genlisea aurea. It matches the Rfam family "tRNA". From Rfam's summary of the family: Transfer RNA (tRNA) molecules are approximately 80 nucleotides in length. Their secondary structure includes four short double-helical elements and three loops (D, anti-codon, and T loops). Further hydrogen bonds mediate the characteristic L-shaped molecular structure. tRNAs have two regions of fundamental functional importance: the anti-codon, which is responsible for specific mRNA codon recognition, and the 3' end, to which the tRNAs corresponding amino acid is attached (by aminoacyl-tRNA synthetases). tRNAs cope with the degeneracy of the genetic code in two manners: having more than one tRNA (with a specific anti-codon) for a particular amino acid; and 'wobble' base-pairing, i.e. permitting non-standard base-pairing at the 3rd anti-codon position. The record is from Rfam by way of RNAcentral. Lineage: Eukaryota; Viridiplantae; Streptophyta; Magnoliopsida; Lamiales; Lentibulariaceae.